GGUCCAGGAUGCCUUCACUUACUGAUAGUGGCCAGGCUGUUGGUCUCAAGUGGCCUCAGCUGGGUAAGCUUGCCUUGCUCCACUAUGCAUUAUCUAAUUAGCUCAAAUUGUACUGGCUCUGCCAUUUUAUGUACAGCAAAGACCGCCAGCAUCCUCCUAGACUCUUAAACACACACCCAGUUAUUUAUUUUUUGAGUCUUGGUUGGAGUCUCACAUAAGCUCAUCACUUGUCAUCUGAAGUUCUUCCUCUUCAGUACUCUUGUGGAAAUGUGUUUCCCACAAAGCCACCGCAGGUGCUAUAAUCUCUUACCUGGAUUAUUUAGCCCUUGUGAAAAUACUGUCAUGUGUGGAUAGUUGUUCAAAUUGAUGUUUCUGGAAGGGGACAAGUAUCACUCUCUCUGUAUUACUUCAUAGAGAAUAGAGAACCUACAGACCCACAUGUAUUGAAGUUUGAAACCACCUGUGUAAACAGCACACAGAUCAAGGACCACUUUACCCUGUUUCUCACACCAUAGCUUUGCUGUUCUAAGAGAAGUCAAGGUGAAGGGUUUAAUGCCUCUGAAGCUGGGGCAAGAAAACAAUCGCCUUCUCCAACGGUCAGUAAAGAAUACAAGGGCACAGUUAAAACAGAGCCACUGAAGUGAACAACCUUGAUGCGACCAACAGGAGAAACACCCCCUCCAGUUGAAUCAUGGGUGUGAGAACAUUCAACUACAAAAAAAGUCACAGAUGCACGAAAAUCAGAGCUUAAAGAAUUGUAAAAACACAUCUGGUUUAAUCCCCUCUCUUUAAAGAUGGAGAAAUCAAGAUACAGAAAGGCAGUGGACCUUGUUUCUGGUGGCUCAGCCACGUAAGGGUAAAGCCCUGGCAUACUGACGGUGUG
Molecule: long non-coding RNA, 883 nt
Organism: Symphalangus syndactylus (siamang)
Lineage: Eukaryota; Metazoa; Chordata; Mammalia; Primates; Hylobatidae
Source: RefSeq, a predicted model, not a curated record